CCAUGUAAACUUAAUGUUCCAUGAACACAGUUUCAUUUUGCAUUUAAUUUCUUAAGGCUUUUUUUUACAGGAAAAAUUGGGUGUGAGAGAAGAAAAAAAUUGGGAAAAACUCACAAGGGAUACGUCAAAGCUUUACAGUUUGCAAAUAAUGUGAUUACAGAUUCUUAAUUCCAUUAUCAAGCCUUAGUCAGUGCUGUACACACUGCGCUCUGAGGAGGGAAGCAAAACCUGGGGCUAAGGGAGAGAAGUUUGUCCUCUCUGUACAGCUUUCUUUGUCCCUCCAAGUGCAAGGACACUUAAGCCCCUCUAUGCAAAACCCCUUCAAGCUCAAUGAACAGAAAAAAGAUGAAAUGUGAAGACAUUUUCUUAGUGAGUUGUGAAAGUCCUGCAGAGGUACCAGCACAACUGAGAAAGAGUACACUGGGAGAAAAUGAGCCACCACACGAUGUGGAGGACAAGGAAAGGCAGGAACGACUCACCAGUGACAGCUUUGGGAGACAUGUCAAUAAGAUUACA
This 516-nucleotide long non-coding RNA is filed under the name Dromaius novaehollandiae (emu). RNAcentral's name for it is "lncRNA (ENSDNVG00000016732.1)". The record is from RNAcentral. Lineage: Eukaryota; Metazoa; Chordata; Aves; Casuariiformes; Dromaiidae.